Phrynosoma platyrhinos (Desert horned lizard) is the source of this 73-nucleotide non-coding RNA. The record is from the annotation of a GenBank genome assembly. Lineage: Eukaryota; Metazoa; Chordata; Lepidosauria; Squamata; Phrynosomatidae.
GCCAGCAUGGCAUAGUGGUUUGUGUGUUGGACUAUGACACUGGGAGAUCAGGGUUCGAAUCCCUGCUUCGCCA